ACACAUGCAAGUCGAGCGGGGAGAAUGUAGCUUGCUACAUGACCUAGCGGCGGACGGGUGAGUAAUGCUUAGGAAUCUGCCUAUUAGUGGGGGACAACAUUCCGAAAGGAAUGCUAAUACCGCAUACGCCCUACGGGGGAAAGCAGGGGAUCUUCGGACCUUGCGCUAAUAGAUGAGCCUAAGUCAGAUUAGCUAGUUGGUGGGGUAAAGGCCUACCAAGGCGACGAUCUGUAGCGGGUCUGAGAGGAUGAUCCGCCACACUGGGACUGAGACACGGCCCAGACUCCUACGGGAGGCAGCAGUGGGGAAUAUUGGACAAUGGGCGCAAGCCUGAUCCAGCCAUGCCGCGUGUGUGAAGAAGGCCUUUUGGUUGUAAAGCACUUUAAGCGAGGAGGAGGCUACUUGGAUUAAUACUCUAGGAUAGUGGACGUUACUCGCAGAAUAAGCACCGGCUAACUCUGUGCCAGCAGCCGCGGUAAUACAGAGGGUGCGAGCGUUAAUCGGAUUUACUGGGCGUAAAGCGUGCGUAGGCGGCUUUUUAAGUCGGAUGUGAAAUCCCUGAGCUUAACUUAGGAAUUGCAUUCGAUACUGGGAAGCUAGAGUAUGGGAGAGGAUGGUAGAAUUCCAGGUGUAGCGGUGAAAUGCGUAGAGAUCUGGAGGAAUACCGAUGGCGAAGGCAGCCAUCUGGCCUAAUACUGACGCUGAGGUACGAAAGCAUGGGGAGCAA
Molecule: ribosomal RNA, 727 nt
Filed under: Acinetobacter sp. S1ID20
Lineage: Bacteria; Pseudomonadati; Pseudomonadota; Gammaproteobacteria; Moraxellales; Moraxellaceae
Description: bacterial SSU rRNA
Rfam family: Bacterial small subunit ribosomal RNA
Source: RNAcentral